GGUACCCAAGGAGGAAGCCCCGGCUAACUACGUGCCAGCAGCCGCGGUAAUACGUAGGGGGCAAGCGUUGUCCGGAAUUAUUGGGCGUAAAGGGCGCGUAGGCGGAUGCUUAAGUCCGGUGUGAAAGAUCAGGGCUCAACCCUGAGAGUGCAUCGGAAACUGGGUAUCUUGAGGACAGGAGAGGAAAGUGGAAUUCCACGUGUAGCGGUGAAAUGCGUAGAUAUGUGGAGGAACACCAGUGGCGAAGGCGACUUUCUGGACUGUAACUGACGCUGAGGCGCGAAAGCGUGGGGAGCAAACAGGAUUAGAUACCCUGGUAGUCCACGCCGUAAACGAUGAGUGCUAGGUGUAGAGGGUAUCGACCCCUUCUGUGCCGCAGUUAACACAAUAAGCACUCCGCCUGGGGAGUACGGCCGCAAGGUUGAAACUCAAAUGAAUUGACGG
This 444-nucleotide ribosomal RNA is filed under the name uncultured Desulfosporosinus sp. RNAcentral's name for it is "bacterial SSU rRNA". It matches the Rfam family "Bacterial small subunit ribosomal RNA", at positions 474 to 916 of the family's 1533-position model. The record is from RNAcentral. Lineage: Bacteria; Bacillati; Bacillota; Clostridia; Eubacteriales; Desulfitobacteriaceae.